RNAcentral lists this non-coding RNA (21 nucleotides) under Caenorhabditis elegans. The record is from RNAcentral. Lineage: Eukaryota; Metazoa; Nematoda; Chromadorea; Rhabditida; Rhabditidae.
UACAAACUACAAUCUAAAAAU